RNAcentral lists this ribosomal RNA (272 nucleotides) under uncultured Staphylococcus sp. RNAcentral describes it as "partial 16S ribosomal RNA". It matches the Rfam family "Bacterial small subunit ribosomal RNA", at positions 90 to 356 of the family's 1533-position model. Lineage: Bacteria; Bacillati; Bacillota; Bacilli; Caryophanales; Staphylococcaceae. The record is from RNAcentral.
CGUUAGCGGCGGACGGGUGAGUAACACGUGGGUAACCUACCUAUAAGACUGGGAUAACUUCGGGAAACCGGAGCUAAUACCGGAUAAUAUUUCGAACCGCAUGGUUCGAUAGUGAAAGGUGGUUUUGCUAUCACUUAUAGAUGGACCUGCGCCGUAUUAGCUAGUUGGUAAGGUAACGGCUUACCAAGGCGACGAUACGUAGCCGACCUGAGAGGGUGAUCGGCCACACUGGAACUGAGACACGGUCCAGACUCCUACGGGAGGCAGCAGCG